This is a small nucleolar RNA of Cervus hanglu yarkandensis (Yarkand deer), 90 nucleotides long. Its record names the gene SNORD116. It matches the Rfam family "Small nucleolar RNA SNORD116". Rfam says of the family: HBII-85 is a member of the C/D class of snoRNAs, which contain the C (UGAUGA) and D (CUGA) box motifs. HBII-85 is encoded in a tandemly repeated array with another C/D snoRNA, HBII-52, in the Prader-Willi syndrome (PWS) region of chromosome 15. The record is from Ensembl. Lineage: Eukaryota; Metazoa; Chordata; Mammalia; Artiodactyla; Cervidae.
AGAUGGAUGAUGAUUCCCACAAAGGCAACCUUGAAAAUCUGACAAAAUGAAUUAUCAAUCCUUAUCAUGUUCUCUUUGGAACUAAGGUCC